Molecule: ribosomal RNA, 592 nt
Filed under: Sarocladium implicatum
Lineage: Eukaryota; Fungi; Ascomycota; Sordariomycetes; Hypocreales; Sarocladiaceae
Description: eukaryotic LSU rRNA
Rfam family: Eukaryotic large subunit ribosomal RNA
Source: RNAcentral
UCAUUAGCUGAGGAAAACGGAACCAACAGGGAUUGCCUCAGUAACGGCGAGUGAAGCGGCAACAGCUCAAAUUUGAAAUCUGGCCGCAAGGUCCGAGUUGUAAUUUGUAGAGGAUGCUUUUGGCAAGGUGACUUCCGAGUUCCCUGGAACGGGACGCCAUAGAGGGUGAGAGCCCCGUACGGUCGUGCCACCGAGCCUCUGUAAAGCUCCUUCGACGAGUCGAGUAGUUUGGGAAUGCUGCUCUAAAUGGGAGGUGUACGUCUUCUAAAGCUAAAUACCGGCCAGAGACCGAUAGCGCACAAGUAGAGUGAUCGAAAGAUGAAAAGCACUUUGAAAAGAGGGUUAAAAAGUACGUGAAAUUGUUGAAAGGGAAGCAUUCAUGACCAGACUUGGGCUUGGUUGAACAUCCGGCGUUCUCGCCGGUGCACUCUGCCAGCUCAGGCCAGCAUCAGUUUGCCCCGGGGGACAAAGGCGGCGGGAAUGUGGCUCUCUACGGGGAGUGUUAUAGCCCGUCGUGUAAUGCCCUGGGGUGGACUGAGGUUCGCGCUUCGGCACGGAUGCUGGCGUAAUGGUCAUCAAUGACCCGUCUUAA